GUGGGGAAUUUUGGACAAUGGGCGAAAGCCUGACGGAGCAAUGCCGCGUGAAGGAUGAAGGCCUAUGGGUUGUAAACUUCUUUUCUCAGAAAAGAAUUAUGACGGUAUCUGAGGAAUAAGCAUCGGCUAACUCUGUGCCAGCAGCCGCGGUAAGACAGAGGAUGCAAGCGUUAUCCGGAAUGAUUGGGCGUAAAGCGUCUGUAGGUUGUUUAAAAAGUAUUCUGUCAAAGAUUAGGGCUUAACCCUAGAUAGGCAGAAUAAACUUUUAAGCUAGAGUUUGGUAGAGGCAGAGGGAAUUCCCGGUGGAGCGGUGAAAUGCGUAGAUAUCGGGAGGAACACCAAAGGCGAAGGCACUCUGCUGGGCCAAUACUAACACUGAGAGACGAAAGCGAGGGGAGCAAAUGGGAUUAGAUACCCGGGUAGUCC
This 426-nucleotide ribosomal RNA is filed under the name uncultured bacterium. RNAcentral describes it as "partial 16S ribosomal RNA". It matches the Rfam family "Bacterial small subunit ribosomal RNA", at positions 354 to 796 of the family's 1533-position model. The record is from RNAcentral.